UACGAAGGGGGCUAGCGUUGUUCGGAUUAACUGGGCGUAAAGCGCGCGUAGGCGGGUUUUUAAGUCAGGGGUGAAAUCCCAAGGCUCAACCUUGGAACUGCCUUUGAUACUGGAAAUCUUGAGUCCGGGAGAGGUGAGUGGAACUGCGAGUGUAGAGGUUAAAUUCGUAGAUAUUCGCAAGAACACCAGUGGCGAAGGCGGCUCACUGGCCCGGUACUGACGCUGAGGUGCGAAAGCGUGGGGAGCAAACAGG
This 253-nucleotide ribosomal RNA is filed under the name uncultured bacterium. RNAcentral's name for it is "partial 16S ribosomal RNA". It matches the Rfam family "Bacterial small subunit ribosomal RNA", at positions 524 to 776 of the family's 1533-position model. The record is from RNAcentral.